GACCUCGAAUCAGGUAGGGCUACCCGCUGAACUUAAGCAUAUCAAUAAGCGGAGGAAAAGAAACUAACAAGGAUUCCCCUAGUAACGGCGAGUGAACAGGGAAGAGCUCAAAUUUGUAAUCGGGCGUCCCUUGGGCGUCCGAGUUGUAAUCUAUAGAAGCGUUUUUCCGUGCUGGACCAUGUCCAAGUCCCUUGGAACAGGGUAUCAAAGAGGGUGACAAUCCCGUACUUGACAUGACAACCAGUGCUAUGUGAUACGUUUUCUACGAGUCGAGUUGUUUGGGAAUGCAGCUCAAAAUGGGUGGUGAGUUCCAUCUAAAGCUAAAUAUUGGCGAGAGACCGAUAGCGAACAAGUACCGUGAGGGAAAGAUGAAAAGCACUUUGGAAAGAGAGUUAAACAGUACGUGAAA
This 409-nucleotide ribosomal RNA is filed under the name Tremella leucodermiae. RNAcentral's name for it is "Tremella sp. AMM-2022g partial large subunit ribosomal RNA". It matches the Rfam family "Eukaryotic large subunit ribosomal RNA", at positions 1 to 404 of the family's 3401-position model. Lineage: Eukaryota; Fungi; Basidiomycota; Tremellomycetes; Tremellales; Tremellaceae. The record is from RNAcentral.